RNAcentral lists this long non-coding RNA (287 nucleotides) under Nicotiana benthamiana. RNAcentral's name for it is "long non-coding RNA (NBEN_LNC017442)". The record is from RNAcentral. Lineage: Eukaryota; Viridiplantae; Streptophyta; Magnoliopsida; Solanales; Solanaceae.
CCGCCAUUUCUCUUUUACACCUCGCCUUUGUCCUUACCGCCGCUUCUCCCUUUCCUUUCCCCCUUCUCUUCCCCUCUUUCUACUCUCCCAUCGGCGACUGCGAUUUCUCAUUUCUCUUCUCGCCGGUCGGAGCUCUCCCAUUUUUCGGCGAAACCCUAGUUCUCCAGCUACCCUAUCCCUCUCGCAGCAGCAUCGAGGUAAUAUAGCUCAUUCAUUUUUUGAGAUUUAGAAUAUGAAGUUUUUAUUCAAAUGCUGAAAUAGUUUCGAUUUGUUUUAAUUUAUAGAAG